This is an RNA transcript of Austrofundulus limnaeus, 2813 nucleotides long. It is a transcript of the gene named PHD finger protein 20, with no coding region annotated. NCBI's taxonomy places the organism in Eukaryota, Metazoa, Chordata, Actinopteri, Cyprinodontiformes, Rivulidae. The record is from RefSeq and is a predicted model, not a curated record.
GUACCCGGCCACCAUCGAGAAGAUCGACUACGAUAAGGAGCGGGUUCUGAUCCACUACCGCCGCUGGAGCCGGCGCCACGACGAAUGGUUCCACUGGAGCUCUCCGUACCUGCGUCCCCUGGAGCGAGUCAGCCUGAGGAGGCAGGGCCUGAACCCCCCGCAGUCCCCCCCGACCUUUGUUUCAGGGAUGAAGGUUCUGGCCUGUUGGACAGACUGUCGCUUCUACCCAGCAAAAAUCCUCAAGGUCAACAAAGACGAUUCUUUCACCGUGCGAUUCUACGACGGCGUGGUCCGGACCGUGAAGCCCACGAAGAUCAAAGCCUUCCUGAAGAGGUCUGAGAGGAGUGCUGUGGGCAGCGAAGGCUGGGAGGAGGGCGAGAGUGAGGAAGAGGAGGAGGAGGAGGAGAUGAGUGAGGAAGACCAGGGGGAGAAGAAGGGAGACGAUGAGGAAAAGAUGACAUCAGAGGAGAAGGAGGGAGCUGAGGAGGAGGAGGAGGAGAGGAAGAUGGAGGCUUCAUCCUCCCAACCACCAUCGAAGAAGAAAACAGGUGAUGAAGCUGACAGUCAGCCAAUCACAGCUGACUCCGCCCUGCCUGCUGUUCCUAACCCCGCCCACGUAGACAGAGACGUCCUGUUGGAGCGUCAGGCCCACCUGCCCACCACACACAAGUUCAGCCGGGAGCCACUGUACAGGGUGAUCAAGAACCAGCCUCCUCCGAUCCUGUCCAUCGAGCUGGACCACAACCCCUUCAAGUGUCCGUCUCCAGACUGUCCCAAGUCCUUCAGGAAGGCCAGCCUGCUGCACUACCACAUCAAGUACUACCACUCAGACCAGCAUCUGGACCCAGAACCACACAGGAGGAAGAGGUCGUCCUCUGACGGGAGCGACUUCACCUGCAGCAGGAAGCCUGAGACCCAGAGCAGCUGUCGCCAUGACCAUACAGAGCAGAGCAUCGCCACAGCAGGUGGGUCGGGUCAGCGCCGGGGUCCACCCGACCUGACCACGUUUCAACCCUGUGACUUCCUGUCAGCAGAGCUGAAGAAGGACAGGAAGGACAGGAAGCACUUCCUGCGGCUCAAACUCAAGAAGAAGAAAAAGAAGAAGAAGAAGAAGAAAAGCCUGCCAGGGUUCUGCUCCAGUGAUGAUGAAGCAUCAGAGACACGUCCAGUCAGUCUGACGCUGUCACAGCAAGUCGACGACGGCAGCGACUGGUCGACUCUGACGGCCGAGAGCGGGGAGGACACGCCCUCGUGGCCCGUUGCCAUGGAGACGGAGGAGUGCGAGGUGGUCAGGUGUGUGUGUGAGGUGGACGAGGAGAACGACUUCAUGAUUCAGUGUGAGUCGUGUCUGUGCUGGCAGCACGGCACCUGUAUGGGCUUAUAUGAGGACAACGUUCCACACAACUACACCUGCUACUACUGCAGACAGAGCACAGGUUGGAGGCGGGCUCAGCGUUUCCUGUCAGAACCUGAUCUGCUGAUGUCAGGUUCCAUGUUUGGUCUGUCCUGUGUGAAGGAGAACUACUCUGAGAUCAACGCCGCCAAGAUUCUGCACACGGGCCGCCUGCUGGCCCACACACACGGCCUGAGCCAGGUCCUGAACGGGCUGCAGCUCAAGAUCAGCCUGCUGCACUCCCCGUCCCACCCCGACCUGCAGCUGUGGAGCUUACCCUGGAGACAGGAGGACGGCCUGAGGCUGGCCUCCAGCCCCACAGGAGAGCCCGCCAUCUGCUACGUCAGCAGUGAGCACUGCUACCAGAAGCCUGGAGCAUCAUGGGAAACUGCAGAGAGGAGCCAGGCCAGACAGGAAGUCCACUCUGAGGACAAGGACAUCAAACCUGGACAGGACAGGUCUGACGUCUCUGUGGACUCACACGUCCUGACGCCGUCACACAGCCAGCUGAGCGUGAAGCCAGAGAGCCAACAGGAAGUGAAGCCCGCGGCGUCUCCGGCUCAGUGUCGUCUCAACCUGCUGGAGCACGUGGAGUCCGUCCACCAGCAGAUCAGCACCAGGAUGGAGCUGAUGGAGCGCGAGUUGGACGUGCUGGAGUCCUGGUUGGACCACACGGGCGAGCUGGAGCCCCCGGACCCUUUGUCCCGCCUCCCGCAGCUCAAGCAGCGAAUCAGGCGCCUGCUGAGUGACCUGUGUGUGGUGAGACGCCUGGCGCUCUGCCGCUGACGGACACGGCAGAGCGCCUCGGUUUGGAGUUGUUUCUGUUUGGUCGUAGCACAGCGGCGCCCCCCGGUGGAGGAGAGGUGCACUUUAACCACGAUGAAAGCUCUUCCAGCAGGASUCGAGGACAGGCUGGAUACUGAUCCAGACACAAAGGGUUAAACCAGGUCCGAAUGAAGGAUGAAGGUCAGAGAACGGUUUCCCCUGCAGGUCCGCUUGAUGUUGGUGUCUUUCUGUCUGCAGUCAGAACUGGUUCUGUUCUGGUCCAGUGGAGCAGCUGGUCCUGCUGGGUUUACAGGACUGGACACUUCACCCACUGAGCAUCGAGCAGAGUGGGAGCAAAUAAACCCAGACAGCAGCCGAAGAGCCGAGAAACAAACUGUCAAAUCAACAAAUGUCCUUUUUUUAAAAAACGUCUCUGAACAUUAAAGUUUCAGAGUUUACACUCAGAGUUUACACUCAGAGUUUACACUCAAAGUUUACACUCAGAGUUUACACUCAGAGUUUACACUCAAACUUUAAACUGUCUAAAAGUUCUGUUUUAAUGUCUUAAAGUUUAAAUUCAGUCAUCCAGAAGUAUUUGACACGUGACUCAUGCUACAAUUUUUCAACAGUUCAUUAAAACAUUUAAGACAUUAAA